This 452-nucleotide long non-coding RNA is filed under the name Homo sapiens (human). RNAcentral's name for it is "non-protein coding lnc-DLL1-12:1". The record is from RNAcentral. Lineage: Eukaryota; Metazoa; Chordata; Mammalia; Primates; Hominidae.
CAGCAUUAAAGCCCCGUGGCCUGCACUGUUCUGGGAGCUCCUUCUGCAGGUCCGCGGCCAGGAAGUCCUGGCGACAUUAGCACUUCGGCUGAAAUCCGCCUUCCAGGAAGCGGCUCUGACCACCCCGCCAGAGGGACGGCCAGCCUUGCUGGGUCCCAGUGCACCGUCUACCACGGAGCUGCGGUCGCCGCACUGUGUGCUGACCGACCAACCAGAGUGGGUCACCGUGGCCCACCACACUAGCAAGGUGGAGACAGCAAAAGUGUGCGUCUAGUGUGGAGGGCUACAAACUACACUUUUCUGGCCCCCAGGGCAACAGUUUCCUGGACAUGUGGAAAGAUGGAUGUGUGGAUGGAGAGGUGACACACGCGCGGACGGAGAGGUGGACGUGUAGAUGGAGAGGUGGACAUGCCGGUGGAGAGGUGGAGAUGAGGUCCAGAGAGCCUGGGACA